UACGGAGGGUGCGAGCGUUGUCCGGGAUCACUGGGCGUAAAGGGCGCGUAGGCGGCUUGGGAAGUCUGUGGUGAAAGCUCGUGGCUCAACUGCGAGUCGGCCAUAGAUACUCCUAAGCUCGAGUCGACUAGAGGCAGAUGGAAUUCCGGGUGUAGCGGUGGAAUGCGUAGAGAUCCGGAAGAACACCGGUGGCGAAGGCGGUCUGCUGGGGUCGAACUGACGCUGAGGCGCGACAGCGUGGGGAGCAAACAGG
This 253-nucleotide ribosomal RNA is filed under the name uncultured bacterium. RNAcentral describes it as "partial 16S ribosomal RNA". It matches the Rfam family "Bacterial small subunit ribosomal RNA", at positions 524 to 776 of the family's 1533-position model. The record is from RNAcentral.